GACGAACGCUGGCGGCGUGCUUAACACAUGCAAGUCGAACGGAAAGGCCCUGCUUUUGUGGGGUGCUCGAGUGGCGAACGGGUGAGUAACACGUGAGUAACCUGCCCUUGACUUUGGGAUAACUUCAGGAAACUGGGGCUAAUACCGGAUAGGAGCUCCUGCUGCAUGGGGGGGGUUGGAAAGUUUCGGCGGUUGGGGCUGGACUCGCGGGUUAUCAGCUUGUUGGUGGGGUAGUGGCUUACGAAGGCUUUGACGGGUAGCCGGCCUGAGAGGGUGACCGGCCACAUUGGGACUGAGAUACGGCCCAGACUCCUACGGGAGGCAGCAGUGGGGAAUCUUGCACAAUGGGCGGAAGCCUGAUGCAGCAACGCCGCGUGCGGGAUGACGGCCUUCGGGUUGUAAACCGCUUUCGCCUGUGACGAAGCGUGAGUGACGGUAAUGGGUAAAGAAGCACCGGCUAACUACGUG
RNAcentral lists this ribosomal RNA (468 nucleotides) under uncultured bacterium. RNAcentral's name for it is "partial 16S ribosomal RNA". It matches the Rfam family "Bacterial small subunit ribosomal RNA", at positions 28 to 507 of the family's 1533-position model. The record is from RNAcentral.